AUUGAACGCUGGCGGAAUGCUUUACACAUGCAAGUCGAACGGUAGAGGGGGCAACCCCUUGAGAGUGGCGAACGGGUGAGUAAUAUAUCGGAACGUGCCCAGUCGUGGGGAUAACGUAGCGGAAAGUUACGCUAAUACCGCAUACGAUCUAAGGAUGAAAGCGGGGGAUCGCAAGACCUCGCGCGAUUGGAGCGGCCGAUAUCAGAUUAGGUAGUUGGUGAGGUAAAGGCUCACCAAGCCGACGAUCUGUAGCUGGUCUGAGAGGACGACCAGCCACACUGGGACUGAGACACGGCCCAGACUCCUACGGGAGGCAGCAGUGGGGAAUUUUGGACAAUGGGCGGCAAGGCCUGAUCCAGCAAUGCCGCGUGCAGGAUGAAGGCC
This 384-nucleotide ribosomal RNA is filed under the name uncultured bacterium. RNAcentral's name for it is "bacterial SSU rRNA". It matches the Rfam family "Bacterial small subunit ribosomal RNA", at positions 30 to 416 of the family's 1533-position model. The record is from RNAcentral.